AGGCAGCCAGUUGAGCCAACUGUCCUCUUUCCCGUGGGGGCUGGCUGGCAUGCAAUGGCUGCUAAUAACAGCUUCCUGAGUCAGGGAUGCAGCCUGGUUGGCACGUAUAAGCCACUCGAAGGAACCUUGGAGACAACC
Echinops telfairi (small Madagascar hedgehog) is the source of this 138-nucleotide small nucleolar RNA. Its record names the gene SNORA70. It matches the Rfam family "Small nucleolar RNA SNORA70". From Rfam's summary of the family: snoRNA U70 seems to be exclusive to mammals and is a member of the H/ACA class of snoRNA which contain H (ANANNA) and ACA box motifs. H/ACA box snoRNAs are involved in the conversion of uridines to pseudouridines (5-ribosyluracil) a constituent of structural RNAs (transfer, ribosomal, small nuclear, and small nucleolar). NCBI's taxonomy places the organism in Eukaryota, Metazoa, Chordata, Mammalia, Afrosoricida, Tenrecidae. The record is from Ensembl.